GUGGUUUUAGCUCAGUGGUUAAGCGCUUGUAGAGCAUCUGCUUUACACGCAGAGUGUCGGGAGUUCGAACCUCUCAAGCCAUA
RNAcentral lists this transfer RNA (83 nucleotides) under Cryptomonas paramaecium. RNAcentral describes it as "Cryptomonas paramecium tRNA-Val". It matches the Rfam family "tRNA". Rfam says of the family: Transfer RNA (tRNA) molecules are approximately 80 nucleotides in length. Their secondary structure includes four short double-helical elements and three loops (D, anti-codon, and T loops). Further hydrogen bonds mediate the characteristic L-shaped molecular structure. tRNAs have two regions of fundamental functional importance: the anti-codon, which is responsible for specific mRNA codon recognition, and the 3' end, to which the tRNAs corresponding amino acid is attached (by aminoacyl-tRNA synthetases). tRNAs cope with the degeneracy of the genetic code in two manners: having more than one tRNA (with a specific anti-codon) for a particular amino acid; and 'wobble' base-pairing, i.e. permitting non-standard base-pairing at the 3rd anti-codon position. The record is from RNAcentral. Lineage: Eukaryota; Cryptophyceae; Cryptomonadales; Cryptomonadaceae.